CACAUAAAAAUUAUCUCAAUACUGAAACGAGGAGGCAUAUGAAAAUAUGCAAUCUACUUUUAUCUUUAUUUGAAAAUUAGAUUGAUAUCAUUGUUCUCCAUUUUUCAGAUGAUGGUUUUGACAAAUUUGGUUCAUCUUCAUUUUCAGAUAUAUCCAAAAGAGGAAAGAUGUUGCAGCCAUCAUCUUGCUUCUCUCUCUCUCUCAGCGCAAAAGUGAUAUAUAUACUCUUUUCUUCUCUUCUUCUCUCUUGCUUCUUCAUCAUUCUCACGAGAGCAGAGCAAGAUGAUGCGAGUUUUGAGGUCUGGUUGGUGGUCGUCUUUGAGGCGGUGGGAAACGAAUCUGCAGGUUAAUUUUCCUUUUUGGCUCUCUCUCUCUCUCUCUCUCUGUGGUAGAUCUGCAAUUUCUCCUUUUAUUUUACUUACCCCCAUGAUUGUUUGGCAAUGAACAUGAAUUAAGCAAUAGUGUGGUCAUAAAUUUAUCCCUUUAUCCCUUUAUCACUAUGUGGUUAUUUCUCUAACUUGGCCGUCUUAUCUUUUUGUGCCGAUGCCUUGUCAUAAUAUUUGCUUCGACAGCUCUAACUGCUCCAAAUGCAGCUUCAUCGUCUUCUGCUAGUUAGCGUCACCAUAGUCAGGCUGGUGCGCUCUGAUCCUCAUGAUGUAGUCGCAGGAAUCGGUGAAGUCAUGCAUGUCCAUAGUUGGAAAUUCCAGCUUUUCUGGCGGGUGAAAGAACCCCCUCAGGGUACCAUAUUAUAGCAAAACAAAAAUAACCAAUACUAAAUCCAGCCUACCAUAUUAAAUAACAAUAUUGCCGACAGAAAAAAAACAAUAUUGAAAUUCUACCUUUUUCUUGAACAAUUGAAAUUCUGCCAUAUACAGUACUAAUUCAAACAAUAGUCGAGCGAGCCUCGACCAAAUUGAUAAAGAAUAUCUCUCUAAAACCUUCGCUUUCUCUCUAUAAAGUUACAAACUCAAAUCGUCGUUCUCCGACUCCGGCGGCUUGUCGGAGUCGGGUUUAAUCCUUUUGUGAAUCAUGUGUUACAAUCGGUUGUUGUCGGUGCAUGCCCUUUCUAGUCGUUUUAGAUGAGAUCAAUUUUGUUGAAACUCCAGUCUCGGUUGGAUGAUUCUGCAUGUUCGAUUCGAGUUCUCUUUGUAUCGUCUUUGUAUCGAUCUUCUGCCUUUCAGUUGAAUACAAAGUCGAUUGGAUUGGCUCCUUGUCAUUUACCUUCAGAUCUGAUCGAGAUCUACUCUAUCGUCAAGCUUCUUUGUGGCGUUGCAUGUCGUGUUAUCCGACUCCGUCUCUUCCGGUCAAGCCUCGGAACAGUCCGUUUGUUCUGUCUUGCCGGUGACUGAAGCUGUGUUCUUUGAAUUGCUGGGCUAUUCACUAUAGGAGGUCCUUCACGGUGGUGGUGACUCCAUCGUUUAUCUUUCACAAAGGUUCUUCUUUGAAUUGACAUGCAUAUUGUUCUAAGAUGACUGGGUUUCUUUUGAUUUUCAUCUAUUUGACUUAGGUUUGGGUUUUGUAGUCUUUUAGUUUGAUUGUUUUUCAAGUUGAUUCCCUUGUUUGGGCUUAUGAUUCUGGGGACAGUUGUGUUUGUCCGCCAACCUUGUUUCCGGGAUUUCUUAAAUCGCCGGCCUAUGUAAUCUGUUCAAGUUAAUAUAAUCAAAUCUUCAGUGUGAAAAAAAAAAACAGUACUAAUUAAAACGUAACUAUUCAUUUUGUUUAUAACAUAUUUAUUGUAAUAAAUUAUGAUGUCGAGAGGGAUUCUUGUAGUAGUAGUAGUACCAGAAAAGGAGCAAUGUACUGAUUUUUAAAAAGUGUACUUGCGGCGAUGUGAUUGGGUCCUACCACAUGGCAGCUUAAUAAUUCUCGACCUUCCGAUUAACCAAUGUCGAAACACACAAAGGUCGUAUAAAUAAAGUACAACCACCUUGAAGAGGUUUUUCAAUACAAAACAUACAAAUUUAAUAAAUUGUGUGUACUCUUUUAGCCUAAGCUAGAUGGAGUACAAGAGUUCCAUAACGAGGAGUACAAAUAUCUCUCUUGAAGUCUCGUGUAGUACAUCAGAAAACACACACGGUUAGAAUAUCUAUUUAAACCUUAUGUCAUUUAGAAUAACAACACCACCAAAUAAACUCAUGGAACUUGCCAAGUUCAAAGGUCUAACUCUGUAUUCAUGAAGUGGAGCUGAAAGAAGCAAUGGCGUCCAUCUCUUGGCGUAAGAGAAGUGCGUCGAUGAAGGUGUCCAGAUUCUCUCCUUCCAUCAUAUCUUCAAUAGCGUGGUGAGUGAUUCCCACACGAUGAUCCGUGACUCUCCCUUGUGGAAAAUUGUAUGUACGGAUGCGUCCGGAUCGGUCUCCACUGCCAAUCUGUUAACGGGAUUACACAUCGAUCAGCUAAUACAGAAAAUGAUGUAAAAAUGACUGAAUACAUUAGAAGAAAAAUGAGUGUUAAUCACAUACGUACCUGUUCUGACCGUAGCUUUGAACGGCUGCUCUGUAAUCUCAACCUUUCAAUCUCAUAGAGCUUUGCGCAGAGUACUUUAAGUGCUUUGGCUUUGUUCUGUUAUAAAUAAAAAAAGAGUGGACAUUUAUUUAUUAA
Long non-coding RNA from Raphanus sativus (radish), 2598 nucleotides. RefSeq lists it as uncharacterized. The transcript is spliced from 3 exons. The record is from RefSeq and is a predicted model, not a curated record. NCBI's taxonomy places the organism in Eukaryota, Viridiplantae, Streptophyta, Magnoliopsida, Brassicales, Brassicaceae.